This 364-nucleotide long non-coding RNA is filed under the name Mytilus galloprovincialis (Mediterranean mussel). The record is from RNAcentral. Lineage: Eukaryota; Metazoa; Mollusca; Bivalvia; Mytilida; Mytilidae.
UAUAGAUCAUAAUAUAUUUCCAUACACCAAAUAUAGUUGACCUUUGGCUUAUAAUAUUAGAUAAAAAGAUCAAAACUUAAAUACUUAACUUUGACCACUGAACCAUGAAAAUGAGGUCAAGGUCAGAUGACAUCUGCCCGCUAGACAUGUACACCUUACAAUCAUUCCAUACAACAAAUAUAGUAGACCUAUUGCAUAAAUUAUGAGAAAAACAGACCAAAACACAAAAACUUAACUAUAACCACUGAACCAUGAAAAUGAGGUCAAGGUCAGAUGACACCUGCCAGUUGGACAUGUACACCUUCCAGUCCUUCCAUACAUCAAAUAUACUAGCCCUAUUGCUUAUAGUAUCUGAGAUAUGGAC